ACGGAAGGCAGCAGUAGGGAAUCUUCGGCAAUGGGGGCAACCCUGGCCGAGCAACGCCGCGUGAGUGAAGAAGGUUUUCGGAUCGUAAAGCUCUGUUGUAGGAGAAGAACGUGUGUGAGAGUGGAAAGUUCACACAAUGACGGUAACUUACCAGAAAGGGACGGCUAACUACGUGCCAGCAGCCGCGGUAAUACGUAGGUCCCGAGCGUUGUCCGGAUUUAUUGGGCGUAAAGCGAGCGCAGGCGGUUUAAUAAGUCUGAAGUUAAAGGCAGUGGCUUAACCAUUGUUCGCUUUGGAAACUGUUAGACUUGAGUGCAGAAGGGGAGAGUGGAAUUCCAUGUGUAGCGGUGAAAUGCGUAGAUAUAUGGAGGAACGCCGGUGGCGAAAGCGGCUCUCUGGUCUGUAACUGACGCUGAGGCUCGAAAGCGUGGGGAGCAAACAGGAUUAGAUACCCUGGUA
Molecule: ribosomal RNA, 459 nt
Filed under: uncultured Streptococcus sp.
Lineage: Bacteria; Bacillati; Bacillota; Bacilli; Lactobacillales; Streptococcaceae
Description: partial 16S ribosomal RNA
Rfam family: Bacterial small subunit ribosomal RNA
Source: RNAcentral